RNAcentral lists this ribosomal RNA (484 nucleotides) under uncultured bacterium. RNAcentral describes it as "partial 16S ribosomal RNA". It matches the Rfam family "Bacterial small subunit ribosomal RNA", at positions 29 to 507 of the family's 1533-position model. The record is from RNAcentral.
AGUGAACGCUGGCGGUAGGCCUAACACAUGCAAGUCGAGCGGAUGCAGGGUGAUUGCUUCUGGAUUCAGCGGCGGAGUGGUGAACAGUGGCGAAAUAUAUCCGUUGCUACGGUUGAGAAGGUCCUGAAGCGGGCGCUCAUACGGCAUACGCUCUGAGGGAGUACGGGGGGGAUCCUGGGAUCUUCCGCCAUUAGGUGAUCGUAGGUCGGGUUAGCUAGUUUGUGGGGUAAAGGCCUACCAAGGCGACGAUCCGUCACUCGUCUGAGAGGAUGAUCAGCCACACUGGAACUGAGACACGGUCCAGACUCCUACGGGAGGCAGCAGUGGGGAAUAUUGGACAAUGGGCGCAAGCCUGAUCCAGCCAUGCCGCGUGGGUGAAGAAGGUCUUCGGAUUGUAAAGCACUUUAGUUUGGAAAGAAAAGCAGUAGGUUAAUACCUUGCUGUUCUGACGGUACCAACAGAAUAAGCACCGGCUAACUUCGUG